GCCACUCUCACCUGGACCAAGUGCGAUAGCUGAUUGGCUGCAGGAGAGCUGGGGGCGGGUAUUCGGUAUGAGAUCCACAGGCUGCUGGGAAUGCAAAGAGCCAGGAAGACAGGAAGAAAAGUUGAUGGGAGGAGGAGGAGACACCAGAGGGGUCGGCUCGGGUUUCAGGUGUUCGGGGCCACCUCAUAUGAGAUGCUUGAAAUAAUUGGACUGUGACUCAGGCGACGGGUCAGCCUGCUGACAGAUUUGGGAGGCUGCUGCGUGGAAGGGGAAUUUGAAACGUGGGCUGGAUCAGCACGGAGGAUUGGGCAGGGAGAAGGCCAAGGCUCAAGUGGAGAAACAGCCAUCAAGUUUAAAGUAGGAAGGAGGGAAGAGCCAGCAAAGGGGGUGGUGAGCGGUGAUAGGAAGACAGCAAGCCAGGCACAGCGGUCAGGGACGUCAGUGAUGACCAAGAAGCGGCCUCCAGGAGAGGCGAAUGUUACAGUAGAUGAAAAACCACCUGAAGAAGUAUGUACAUGGUCCAGAACACGGGCUCUGGAGUUCCUGUGUGACUUUGGACGAGUUGAUCACCUUAAACCUCUACUGCUCAUUUGUGAAGGAGAGAGAAUAGCAACACCUGUCCAAGGAUUUCGAGGAUUUGCAACAAUCCACGGUUCAACAAGGGUGCACAGAGACCCAAGAGUGUGGAAGAGGAAGCCAUAGAGUGAUGGAAUAAAUAACUGGUUUCCUUGAAAAUGAAUGGCAAAGUCAUCUGGUACAUUUUCC
RNAcentral lists this long non-coding RNA (765 nucleotides) under Homo sapiens (human). Its description in RNAcentral is "non-protein coding lnc-MRPS9-1:2". The record is from RNAcentral. Lineage: Eukaryota; Metazoa; Chordata; Mammalia; Primates; Hominidae.